This 530-nucleotide ribosomal RNA is filed under the name uncultured eukaryote. RNAcentral describes it as "eukaryotic LSU rRNA". It matches the Rfam family "Eukaryotic large subunit ribosomal RNA", at positions 972 to 1464 of the family's 3401-position model. The record is from RNAcentral.
CUCAGGAUAGCUGGAGUUUUAUCAAACGAGUUAGAUCAGGUAAAGCGAAUGAUUAGAAGUAUAGGGGAAAGAAACUUUUCUUCACUUAUUCUCAAAACUUUAAAUAGGUUCUUUUCUUUUUUUUAAAUUUUAAUAUUAAAAAAAUAAUAGUAUAAUCAUUAAACUCUUAGUGGGCAAGUUCUGGUAAGCAGAACUGGCGAUGUGGGAUGAACCAAAUGUUAAAGUUAAAGUGCCUAAAAUUUUAAUGCUCAUUCUAGAUACCAUAAAAGGUGUGGCUUGAUCUAGACAGAAGGACGGUGGUCAUGGAAGUCGAAAUCCGCUAAGAAGUGUGUAAAAACUUACCUUUCGAAUUAAGUUGCCCUGAAAAUGGAUGGCGCUCGAGCGUCGGGCCUAUACCGGACCGUCGUCGCAGUGUGCGCUUCGCGGCAAACGAUGCGUCGACGAGUAGGCAGGUCGCCGCGGUGAGCUUAGAAGCCUGGGGCGCGAGCCUGGGUGGAGCCGCCGCGGGUGCAGAUCUUGGUGGUAGUAGC